Molecule: long non-coding RNA, 1527 nt
Filed under: Lathyrus oleraceus (garden pea)
Lineage: Eukaryota; Viridiplantae; Streptophyta; Magnoliopsida; Fabales; Fabaceae
Description: Pisum sativum (pea) long non-coding RNA (PSAT_LNC040550)
Source: RNAcentral
UUACAUUUCACAAAUAUUUCAGGAAAUCAAUUGGUGGCACGCAACCUCCGGCCAUCGCAAAUUUGCUCUGGCGAUGAGAUUCCUUUGCAAAUCCGUCUGACACAUUUGCGCGUUGCCGGAAGCCACAUCCUCUUCCGUAAUUCUGCACACCUCAUUCUUCAUACGCAUCUCCCUCCAUUCACAUUUAUCCACCACAACUCAUACAACGAUCCUUCAGCCACCAUCAUCUCCGACCAUUAUUGUUGUCGCCAUUAUCGCCAAGUUCUUUUCUGUUUCACUUUACUUCAAUUUGAUUUAAAUCCACUAAUAUUUAGUUGAUGUGAGAAACCAAAGUUGUUAUCUGGAAGUAGUUUGAGAGAGAGAGAGAGAGAGAGAGAGAGAGAGAGAGAGAGAGAUAUGAAGAUGAUUUUGUAUUCAUUUUUUCUUCUUGCCAUGAAACUGAUCGAGGAAGAAGGGGAUGUGAGGAAUGAGAAAUGGGGCUUGGGUACUACUUUUGGGUGUUUUUUUUCUUCUUCUUUUGGUUACCAAGUUUUCCGUUAGUUGAGUUUUGAAAUGUUAGUUAGGUUAGUUAGUGAAUUAAAUGGUAACUGGCUAUUUCGGGUUAUGUUCAUAGAAACCAAGUGGAAUGUGUUGAUUGAAUGACUUGAUGAACCUAAUGCAGGUUAUGUGGUUUGAGCAAAAUGUAGGCUGAUGCAGGUGACUUGCAAAUUGUGGUUGUGACUCAGUUAUCUGCAGGUCAUGGAAUUGUUAGAUGCAUUGCAAGAUGAUGACCUGCAGGAUAAUGCUUCAGAUCAUGUUUCAAUUAUUGGAAGAUUGUGGAUUUGUUGACUUGCUAUAGGCUAUGGAAUUGUUGGCUAAAGAUCCAUCAUAAAGACAUGCUAGUGCAAUUUAUCUGCAAGGUAAAACCUGUUGUGAAUUGUUGCAAUUUUGGGAUUGCUAGGAUAUUUUGUGUUGAGCUACUAACAAUACUUAAGUUAGUUGGAUAUGUAACAAGGGCUAUAGGGCACAUUUUGGUUAGGGUAUGUUUUAGCUUGUUCACUUAAACUUGUAUUGUCAUGCCUUGAUGAAUAGUAUAUGAUGAUGCUUUCUUGAAACUAAUGUUACAGCCUGUCUUGGAUUGAUGAAUGUGGAAACCUUGUUUGGAUAUUGGCCUUGUAUGAAUUUUGGAUGAUGUAUGAAUGUAAUGAUUGUUUGUGUGUUACAUGAUGCAUGGCUAUAGGCUUGUGGAAUUAGACAUGGUUUCAAGGCAAGUUUCAAGGCAUGUCCAAAACCAAUUUUGGUGUAAAAAUGAAGUUUCUUAUUCAUGAAGCAAGUGACCAUGGAAUCUCAUGGAAGAAUGCAAAAGUGAAUAUGCAAUGCACAUUAGGGUUUAGGGGAUGAAAAAAUAGGUUAGUUGACCAAAAAGUCAACAGUUGACCAAAAGUCAACUUUUGUAAAAAUUUCAUUUUUUGUAUUUUCUUUUGUAAUAGACAAUAUAAAUGUUGUAUGAAUGAAUGAAUGGACCUUUAUUUUGAAUGUAAAUGGUCU